GAUGAACGCUGACAGAAUGCUUAACACAUGCAAGUCAACUUGAACUUCGGUUUGGGUGGCGGACGGGUGAGUAACGCGUAAAGAACUUGCCUCACAGAUAGGGACAACAUUUGGAAACGAAUGCUAAUACCUGAUAUUAUGAUUUUAGGGCAUCCUAGAAUUAUGAAAGCUAUAUACACUGUGAGAGAGCUUUGCGUCCCAUUAGCUAGUUGGAGAGGUAACGGCUCACCAAGGCGAUGAUGGGUAGCCGGCCUGAGAGGGUGAUCGGCCACAAGGGGACUGAGACACGGCCCUUACUCCUACGGGAGGCAGCAGUGGGGAAUAUUGGACAAUGGACCAAGAGUCUGAUCCAGCAAUUCUGUGUGCACGAUGAAGUUUUUCGGAAUGUAAAGUGCUUUCAGUNGGGAAGAAAAAAANGA
This 419-nucleotide ribosomal RNA is filed under the name uncultured bacterium. Its description in RNAcentral is "bacterial SSU rRNA". It matches the Rfam family "Bacterial small subunit ribosomal RNA", at positions 28 to 457 of the family's 1533-position model. The record is from RNAcentral.